GACCUUGAUUUUCUAAACCACAUAGCAUACUUAGCGUAGUCGGACUCAAUUCAAUAUGACCACUAGGGUCGGAAUAUCAACAGUCUUCUUAGUCAUUACCGAAACGAUGGUAACAACACACUUGAAUAAAACGAAAUCAAUUACUAGCUUCUUGGUAACCUUGUGACUUUCCCUGAUCCAAGUGUGAGUCCUGUGCUUCCGGUAGUAUAGGCCUCUACUACCAUUCACACCUACUCAUACUCGUCCCAAGUAUUGUCCCGCAGUCUCUCCAAGUCACCAUACACGAAAAAAAACAACUUAACACAUCAGAUAACAAAACAAAGGUUUCAUAUUAUUUCUUGAAACGAUUACAUAGGUGUUCAAGUUCACCCUAGACUAUGCCUCUAACAGGCUAAAUCAUAUGAUUCUAUGGCUACAUUAUAACUCGAUCCUUGGAUGUCAAGCCGUCAUUCCUGAAUCCUCGCAUUGUCAUCUGCUUCGUCUAGGAUCAUAUGGAAUGCUCUUGCCUUCGGUUUUGGCGGAAUGUUUGGUUUUGCCGCCUCUUUCUUUUUCGGGCAAUCCUUAGCAACAUGCCCUUCUUCACGGCAUUCAUAACACACCCUUUUGCACUCGUUGGCGUAAUGUCCGGUCUUCCCACACUUGUAGCAAGUCACUUCUUCGCUACAUUUCCCAAAGUGAUACUUCUUGCACUUCUGGCACCAUCUCACUUUGUUUCCUCCUCCGUUAGACUCCUUUGAACCAGACUUGAUCUUCCUAUUGGGCCUCGUAGAUUCCUCAAACUUCCUCUUUUCGCCAACCUCAAUCUUGUUGGCAGCUCUUCCCUUAAUCAUAUCUUCCACAGACUUGGCAGCCCAGAUAGCUGCCUCCAGAGUAGGAGCCUGACGCACUGGCACCGCGUACUCCCAUGGAAGUCCCUUUGCGUACUUGUCAAUUUUCGUCAGCUCAUCCGGAACAAGACGCAAGGCAAACUCCAUCUUUUCUGUGAAGUUGUUCGUGUAUUCAUCGAUUGACAUGCUUCCCUUCUUCAGGGUUAGAAACUGGUUCUCUAGCUCAAGCAGGUUUUGAGCUGAGCAGUACUUUCGUUUGAAUUGCACUAGAAAUUCUGUCCAUGUCAGUUGCAGCGGCUCAUUGGGGCUUAGAGUCUUCCCUAAGGUAUUCCACCAUCGUACAGUGCUUCCUCGAAACCGACGCACUGUAAAUGUAGUAUGUAGGUUCCCUCUGCAACCGCAUGUCAUGAAAGCUAACUCCAUUUCCGAGAUCCAAUCCAUGACCCCGAUCGGAUCCUCCUUUCCAGUGAAAGUCGAUGGCUUGCAAGUCAGAAAAUCCUUGUACUUGCAUCCAUUCCUCUAGACUUCGUCAUCUUGGUUGUUUUUUCGAACGAUUGGUGGGUUGACUUGACCAACAGUCCCACUGUAGUUUCCUUCCUCAGUCUACCCUUCGUUCAAGUCGGGCUGUUCGAUCUGAAUGGUCGCUUCCUCUCGAUUUUGUUGGAGCAAACGCCUCGUUUCCUCCAUUUGACAAUCCAACAUCGCCUGGAUCAUCGUUUGUACUCUGGCCAUCGUUAUUGGCUCAGCAGCGGCUAACACAACCGGUAUCUGCUCAAUCACCGGGGGCUGAUCUCGGUUCCCAUUUGCAUUCACGUUUCCGCUACGGGUUCUUGCCAUCUUGAUCUAUACACCGAAUAAGGUGAAUCUAGAUCUUUACUUAGGAUUGACGGUUAAAUCAUCCUUAUCACUCCGAAACGUUUAUAUGCUAGUUCUAAUAUCGUAGUUGUACGUUUAGAAUCCUAAACACAUAAGGUUUCCAGAUCUGGUCGGCAACAGACCAUAGAUCCGAACAAUUAACAACAUAUCAUGCACAAAGCAUUUAGCACAUAAAAGCAUUUUAGGCACAAUUCCUAAAAUAAGCUAGUGCUCACACCUCACAAUCAUCGCUUAGCAUUCUAAGUUUAAGUCUAGAAAUAAAUCCAUAUUCCUAGUUCGCUUAAACUAAUGCUCUGAUACCAACUGUGACAUCCCCAUUUUCACGGCCAGAAAAGACCGAUUUUGUUUAUGCUUUAUAAAAAUCAGAGUACUUCAUUUUAUAAAAAUGUUGCGGAAUUUGUUCCCAGAAAAACAUGGUAAAUACGUUAUUAAAACAUUUUCGAAGAAACGUAUUUAUUUCAUUUUAAAACGUUUGGGAUGUCAUCGUUAAUACAGAAACAUAAGCAUAAACAGAACUUACAAUUAUUUACACUAGUGAUCUACAUCUCUUUAAAUCUCUCAGUGUAAUGUCACUUCAUAUCAACACCUGUGAUAUAAAUAAACUGAGUGGGUCAGGUUGGGAAACCUGGUGAGUACAUAGGGUUUUCAACCCACAAUAAUAUAAUUAUUAUUUUUAAACAUCAAACAAUCAACCCAAUUACCCAUUCCCGUUAUCCUCACAUUACGUCCCUAAAACAUCUAACACAAGGGACCUAGUCAAAGGACUAUCAUUGGGAUGGAGUAUACCUGGUGAGCACACAGUUAACACAGUUCGAAUAAACACACAAUUCGAAUAAACACACAGUUCCAAUAAACACCUACAGGUUGCGAGUCUGCUAGUGUUCCACUGGAUUGUCUNUGCUAGUGUUCCACUGGACUGUCUAGAAUAGUCCGUGGUCGUCAUCUAUACCCCGCUAGAUGACUAGAUCAUCAAGAACAGCUAUAACGAGGCCUCUCAUUAUUUUGUUUUGUCACACAGCAACUAUUAUAUCUACCUGUGUUUUACCCAGCACAUUAUGUAGAUAUAAAAUACAUAUACCGUUUAAAUCAUUGAAAACAUAUAUAAAACGUUCAUCCAACAUAGAUAGCAAGUAUACAGAUAAUAUACACACACAGCACAUAAAAUACUUCAUAUCUAUGUGUAAGCUGAAAGUAACUAUGCACUCACCUGAUUAGGUGGUGACUCAGCACUUGGACAACGCUUCGAUAUUCUCAAAACGAUAUUCCUUCGAUAAAACCUAGUAUUGAUACCAAUAGGGUUUAGUUUAAUGAUAACCGCGACAAAUUAAUUAGUCUGACUAUUAUUAAGUGUUAAUAACACGCAAUAAUAGCCCAAAUAAUUAUUUUAAGGACAUAAUAACAUUCCUAUAAUUAUUUGAAAGCUAUAUAAAAAAUUGCGUAAGCGUAGCACACUUACAAUGAAUUUUAUCGAAAACCGGGACUUAAUUGGAGCAGCAUUUCGAAACCGAAAAACUCCUUUUUCUCAGGACUCUGGGAGCCUCUGGGCUUCCCUAGGGUGCUAAGGGGUUUUUCUAGGGUUUAGGGGGGGGGGGGUUUGGAACUCUAGAGAGAGAAAGAUACUAGAGAGAGAAGUGGAAAUUGUGUGAAAAUCAGGGCUGCCUUCGCUGCCUUUUAUAGCCUGCGAGGCCUCGGUACGCUGGGCGUACCUUGGACCUACGUGGGGCGUAAGGGCUCGGAUAAGGCUGCUAGAUCGACUCCAGUUGUCUGGCAUUCGGAAGGGAUAAGACCGAGGUUACACGGGGCGUUCUGGAUCUCGUAUGCGAGGCGUACUCAUGCGCGUGGCGUCGGACGCUAACGCUGGGCGUAUGCAAGGGGUUGCGUGUCAUGCAUCCAAGGCGAGGCUUUCUUCAGCGAUGGAUGGUCUAGAUCGAGCCACGUCAUCGCAUCUAGCAAUAGCUUCUCAAAUUCUAGUUUAAUCUUUAAAAAUUCGUAACUUUCUCAUACGAACUCCGUUUUUGACAUUCUUUAUAUCCACGCGAAGGUGGGAAAGUACUCUACAACUUUCGUUUAGACUCCGUCGGCUAAUUUUGGCUCGAUUUUAAGUUUUAUAUUAUUAACGGGCUGGGACACGAUUGGUCCGUUAAAUCCUCAUAACUUCUUCAUCCGACUUCCGUUUUCGCCCAUCUUUUUCUCGUUACGCUACUCUUAACGAGAUCUUCGAUUCUCGUUCAGGUCAUGUCGGCUAAAAACCGCUCGAUCUAAUAUUCGAAUUUCGGGUUGUACACUGCUAAUCUGAAACUUCGAAAAAUCAUAACUUCUUCAUACGAAGUCAGAUUUGGGCGUUCUUUUUAUCGAUGUUCUUAGUUUAACAUAUUCUACGACUUUCGUUUAGAUCGCUAAGGCUAAAUCUCGCUCUAUCGUAAAUUCACUAUUUACGCUUCCCGGUGCCAUGCCGGUUCUGCCGCGAAGCUUCGACGGGCCAUAACUUCUUCGUUAUAACUCGGAUUUCGGCGUUCUUUAUAUGUACGGAAACCUUGUGACAUAUUCUACAACUUGGUUAAGGUUAUUUAUUCUAAAUAAUCUUUUUUUCAAAAAGUCGUUUUCGACCCCUAUUGCCUCUAAUUUGACUAGCCCGGAUCUACGGGCGUUACAAUUAUCUCCCCCUUAGGAUGAUUACGUCCUAGAAUCAUCAACGAAACAGGGCUCGUAUAAUGACUCCAUACGUCAUCUCUUCAUCCUAGGUAAUAAUUAUAACUUCUAUAUUCCUUCAAGUCUAUCUCUUAGACUCAUUGACUGUAAGCAGUACUCGAUCGUGCACCUGCUCUCUACCUCGGGCUAGACUUCAAAUUAUGACCUAUCAUCAUGUGAUGCACAUUUAGACUUAGGUCUCUUAGAGUUAAAUUCUAAAAUAGACUAUGCCUUCCUUCAUGUUCUAAUGUGAUAUAAUCACACUUUAACAUGUAGCGUUUCUGGCUACCAACUUCUUUAACAACGAACGCGAUACUUCUAUUGAUUGCUUUGAUUUCAAUCGUUUGGUUUAAGUCGGACGCUACAUCAAACUUGGUUCUCUGAACCACGCAACAUACUCAUCGUAGUCAGACUCAAUUCGGUAUGACCACUAGGGUCGGAAAUCAACAAUCUUUUUAGUCAUUAUCGAAACGAUGGUAAUGACAUACUUGAAAAAAAAACAGAAUCAGUUACUAGCUUCUUGGUAACCUUGUGACUUUCCCUGAUCCAAGUGUGAGUCCUGUGCUUCCGGUAGUAUAGGCCUCUACUACCAUUCACACCUACUCAUACUCGUCCCAAGUAUUGUCCCGCAGUCUCUCCAAGUCACCAUACACGAAAAAAAACAACUUAACACAUCAGAUAACAAAACAAAGGUUUCAUAUUAUUUCUUGAAACGAUUACAUAGGUGUUCAAGUUCACCCUAGACUAUGCCUCUAACAGGCUAAAUCAUAUGAUUCUAUGGCUACAUUAUAACUCGAUCCUUGGAUGUCAAGCCGUCAUUCCUGAAUCCUCGCAUUGUCAUCUGCUUCGUCUAGGAUCAUAUGGAAUGCUCUUGCCUUCGGUUUUGGCGGAAUGUUUGGUUUUUCCGCCUCUUUCUUUUUCGGGCAAUCCUUAGCAACAUGCCCUUCUUCACGGCAUUCAUAACACACCCUUUUGCACUCGUUGGCGUAAUGUCCGGUCUUCCCACACUUGUAGCAAGUCACUUCUUCGCUACAUUUCCCAAAGUGAUUCUUCUUGCACUUCUCGCACCAUUUCACUUUGUUUCCUCCUCCGCUAGACUCCUUUGAACCAGACUUGAUCUUCUUAUUGGGCCUCGUAGAUUCCUCAAACUUCCUCUUUUCGCCAACCUCAAUCUUGUUGGCAGCUCUUCCCUUAAUCAUAUCUUCCACAGACUUGGCAGCCCAGAUAGCUGCCUCCAGAGUAGGAGCCUGACGCACUGGCACCGCGUACUCCCAUGGAAGUCCCUUUGCGUACUUGUCAAUUUUCGUCAGCUCAUCCGGAACAAGACGCAAGGCAAACUCCAUCUUUUCUGUGAAGUUGUUCGUGUAUUCAUCGAUUGACAUGCUUCCCUUCUUCAGGGUUAGAAACUGGUUCUCUAGCUCGAGCAGGUUUUGAGCUGAGCAGUACUUUCGUUUGAAUUGCACCAGAAAUU
RNAcentral lists this long non-coding RNA (5862 nucleotides) under Lactuca sativa (garden lettuce). RNAcentral's name for it is "long non-coding RNA (LSAT_LNC001031)". The record is from RNAcentral. Lineage: Eukaryota; Viridiplantae; Streptophyta; Magnoliopsida; Asterales; Asteraceae.